Molecule: ribosomal RNA, 392 nt
Filed under: uncultured bacterium
Lineage: Bacteria
Description: partial 16S ribosomal RNA
Rfam family: Bacterial small subunit ribosomal RNA
Source: RNAcentral
AUACGGAGGAUCCGAGCGUUAUCCGGAUUUAUUGGGUUUAAAGGGUGCGCAGGCGGCCAUUUAAGUCAGCGGUUAAAUCGUGGGGCUCAACCCCAUUCUGCCGUUGAUACUGGGUGGCUUGAUUGCUGGCGAGGUUGGCGGAAUUCGUCGUGGUGCGGGGAAAUGCAUAGAUAUGACGAAGAACACCGAUUGCGUAGGCAGCUGACCAGACCGCAAAUGACGCUCAUGCACGAAAGUGCGGGGAUCGAACAGGAUUAGAUACCCUGGUAGUCCGCACAGUAAACGAUGAAUACUUGUUUUCGGCGAUAUAAUGUCGGAGGCAAAGCGAAAGCGAUAAGUAUUCCACCUGGGGAGUACGCCGGCAACGGUGAAACUCAAAGGAAUUGACGGGG